GGCCUCGUAGCUCAGGUGGUAGAACAUAUGCGGUACUAAAGCAAGGGUGGCAACUUUGUGUGUUCGAAUCCCACCGGGGCUA
RNAcentral lists this transfer RNA (82 nucleotides) under Fasciola hepatica (liver fluke). RNAcentral's name for it is "tRNA-Ser". The record is from RNAcentral. Lineage: Eukaryota; Metazoa; Platyhelminthes; Trematoda; Plagiorchiida; Fasciolidae.